This 1206-nucleotide long non-coding RNA is filed under the name Marmota monax (woodchuck). The record is from RNAcentral. Lineage: Eukaryota; Metazoa; Chordata; Mammalia; Rodentia; Sciuridae.
UUCCAGUGCCUCAGCUUGCACAGGCAAAAGAGAUGAAGACUUUCAGUGAGUGGUAGUCCCUGUCCUGCCUUGUCCCUGCCUUGCACCAUCUCCUGUGUUAUAGCCUCCACCUCCACCUCACCUCCACCCCCAGUCAUGAGGAUGGAGUGGUUGCUAGGAUAACGGUGAGGAUGAAUCACAGAACAGGUGGGUAAACUGCAUCCCUUCUUUCCCAAAAGGUUCAGUCCCCAAGAGUUGUUUGUUUUUCCCCCUUGGAGGUGAAUGUGUGUGUGUGUGUGUGUGUGUGUGCUGUGCUGACCCUCUCCCCACAGAAGAGUGCAUCGAGGCUGGGCAUGAUGGUGAAUACCUGUAAUCCCAGUAGCUCGGGAGGCUAAGGCAGGAGGAUCACGAGUUCAAAGCCCGCCUAAGCAAAAACGAGUUGCUAAGCAACUCAGUGAGACCCUGUCUCUAAAAAGAAUACAAAAUAGGGCUGGGGAUGUAGCUCAGUGAUUGAGUGCCUCCGAGUUCAAUCCCCGGUACCCAUCCCCACCAAAAAAGAGUGCAUCAAAGUAUGGCUACUGUCGUUCUUGAUCCAAGUGGGCUGUCCAUGAUGUCAAUACCAGUCACACAGCCUGGCAUCUUAGGACUUGCUAAGGGCUCUCAGGGGAAUCCCCCCCAAAUAAAAAGCCCAUAGAAACUAAACAGACCUUAAAGCAACUUCAUUCUUUGAUGUACCCACCAACCAAACAAAUCACUUCUUAAAAAAUGCCUUGGUUUCUCAGUAAGACUGGCUUUCCCUGGCUUUGGGAUUUUAGUGUGAAAUUUCAGUAAGAAGGUAGAUGUUUUCCUGGAGAGUGUUUCCACAGGUACACACCCAUUGGGAGCUGCCUCUUAGAACAAAGAGUAAGCAAGACUGGGGAGCAGCUGGUCUUGAGAGUGAUUUGUUGAGAUGGAGGAACUACUCACCAGGGAGCGCCUAGCUGUUCUGCGUUGCGGCGUGUUCAUGGCUGUUUAAGCGCACAGGAACCCCAUAUCUCAUCUGGCUGCUCACUAAAAGCAAGCUUCCGUGAUCUAAGUGGGAAUGGAAUCUUUUGCCACCAGAAGGAGUGGCAGGAACAAAGUGUGUCCUCUGCUAAGGCUGGAAAGAGUUCCUGGAUGUCACCCAAAAGUGUCCAUACCAAGCCACUGAGUCAGAGGGACUUGGCUCUGACAGUGACUGAAACCUUG